UCUUGUGCCACUACCCUGGCCCUACGUCUGCACCCUUGUUUUGAGUUAAUUUUUGUAUCUUGUGUGUAGUGUGUGUGUGUGUGUGUGUGUGUGGGUGUGUGUGUGUGUGUGUGUUAAAUGUACUUACUGAAAAAAAUAUGGCAGAUGAACAAAGAAGCACCAGCUUCCAAAGACUAUCAUCAGCAGACAGCACUGUCUCUACUGGCUCGGACGACUCUUACGAGUACUACCAGACUGACAUCUAUGAGCAGCUGCCCAGCACACUGACCAAACGGAGGUGGCAGCAGGUGGAACAGACUUAUGAGGUCGGGUCCUGCGAAUAUGACCUUUUACCUCCGUCCAUAGACCGGGACCCCCACCAACCACUUAAUAUGCUGCCCCUCUGCAUGCAGGAAAAGCGAAACCUCAGGGAUAGACGCCACCAGGAAAGACUCAGGAUUGGAUUCUGGGCCUCUUGGAGGCAGAGUCAACAAAUCGCAAGGAGGCGACUGAGGGAGCAGGUGGGGAGAUUCUUCUCAGGACUGCUGCCAUGGAAACACACGCUGCAUAAAAUUGAAGGCAGAUUUGGUGUGGGGGUAAAGGCGUACUUUGUGUUCCUUAGGUACCUCAUUUGCCUAAAUCUACUGAACUGUGCCAUCAUUACUGGUUUUGUGCUAGUACCAUCACUGUAUCACAAAUCCUGGGAAGACUACAAAUCUGACAAUAAGUCCAUUUUACACAUUUUUCUGGGCUCCGGUUUUCUGGAGGGAUCUCCACUUUUUUAUGGUUUCUACCAAAAAAUACCGCUCUUCUUCCACACUGGCAUGGGCACCAUACUCUUCCUUAGUCUCAUCAUGAUAGUCCGCAGGAUGGUGGUGGGCUAUAAGCACAUGUGGCUGAUGGGAAAGCAUUUCAGUCUCAAUGUGAGCUACAAGGUGUUCUAUGGCUGGGACUUCUGCAUCCAGGACCCCCAGGCAGCCUCACUCGAGCAUAGCUUUAUCAGAAACGAGCUCAAGAUGGAUCUGGAGGAGCAGAGGUUUCGUCAGAAAGUCUCCGAGCGUUCCAUGAAGCAGUGGGCAUGCCUCUACUUCCUGAGAGGGAUUCUCAACUUUGUGGUGGUGGUGCUUUUGUGUGGCUCCUUCACCCUCAUCUAUUACGCCAUAAUCUCUGCUGAAAAGAAAGAAUCUUUCCACUGGACUGUGAAGCUCCUGAUGAACUAUCUUCCACCCAUCACUAUUACAGUAGUCAACUUCCUGCUGCCUCAUGUUUUCUCCAGGAUAUCAAUGUUUGAAGACUACUUCCUCACCACCCAACUUAAUCUCACAUUAGUUCGGAGUAUCUUCCUGAAGCUAGGGACCUUAGCAAUUUAUAUCAUCUUUAUCACAAUUCAAAAUAACACAUGUGCAGAGAAUGAGUUCGGCAAAGAAAUGUAUAAACUCACCAUAUUUCAGCUCUUGGCAUGUUUCUGCAACACUUUCUUGAUUGUCUACCUCAAAAGGUUGCUAGCAGAGAAGUACCCCUCCUCUAAGCUUGCAAGGAUGAUAGGCAUACAAGAGUUUGUGAUCCCAUUAAACGUGUUGGAUUUGGUGUACAGUCAGACAGUCACUUGGGUUGGAGUCUUCUACUGCCCCCUGCUGCCAGGCAUUAGCACAAUAAAGCUACUGGCCAUCUUCUACAUGAAAAAGUUCACUGUCAUGCGAUGUUGUGUUCCGGCUCAGAGAUUGUUCCGGACCUCCAGUUCUGCCGUUCUGUUUCACUUUAUGCUCUUACUGGGCCUCAUAAUGUCUUUUGUGACAAUUGGUGUCAACAGCAUUAGGUCUGAUGCUGGGUGUGGCCCAUUGGGCAAUGAUACCAUGUACAGUGUGAUGGAUAAGUUUGUGAAAACACUCCCAAUCUCUGCUCAAACUACCAUAAGUUACAUCACAUCUGAGGCCUUUAUAUUCGCACUCAUAUUGGCUGAGAUAAUCAUCCUGACAUCGUUUGUGUCCCAUGGCCGGGCCAAUCGAAAGACCAUCGAGAGACUGAAGGACAUGCUGGUGAUGUGCAGCUCAGAUAAGCGUUACCUGGUGAAGCAACAUUCCACAUGGCUCAGGCAACGAUACAGAAGCUCAGAAACGGAGGCCUUGGGGAAGUGAACGGCUGCUCGAGGUCAGAGAAAGAAAACCUCACUUCUGCUUAGCUCCUAUGAUCCAAGGAUCCAAACAAAUGGCGAGACCUUCCAGAUUAUUCUCCUAGACUGAGGAUAGAGAAGAGAAGAAGAGAAGAAGAGCAGACAUCGUGAAAACGCCGGUGUUGAGGUUUGCCAGAUGCAACCUAAAGCUGAUCUGGGAUCAGCUCUGUGACUUAAUUUAAAAUUAAGGUGAUCGGCACAAAAGAAACCUGUCUUCUUGUUCCUGCCAGUAAGAAGUAAUUUUAGUUUGAUAUUUUUUUUAGCUUUUAAUUUUUUUUAACUUCUGUAUUUUGUUGAGAAAAUAAAUAGUUUACUUCCAUUAUCGAUCAUUUAGGAAAAGAAAAAAUACGCAUGUAAUUAAAGCAUAACGAAUAUUAGCAUUAUGUUAAAGCUUGUUGGUCACUACUAGCUUCCACUUUUUUGGUAUCCAAAUUAGCAUAUUUGGUAAAAUAUUCUUUUAAAAUAUUUUGUACAAUUUUUUUUGUAUUAACCUCAUGUGGCGUAUGUAAUGCCAUCUUCUAUUCAGAUGUAACAAUAAUAUGAGAGUUUGUUUUUCUUUUCAUGCUAUUUUUUCAAUAAAUUCCAUC
RNA transcript from Electrophorus electricus (electric eel), 2736 nucleotides. It is a transcript of the gene named transmembrane channel-like 8, with no coding region annotated. The record is from RefSeq and is a predicted model, not a curated record. Lineage: Eukaryota; Metazoa; Chordata; Actinopteri; Gymnotiformes; Gymnotidae.